CCUACGGGUGGCAGCAGUGAGGAAUAUUGGUCAAUGGGCGCGAGUCUGAACCAGCCAAGUCGCGUGAGGGAAGACGGUCCUAUGGAUUGUAAACCUCUUUUGUCGGGGAGCAAAAGACGCCACGCGUGGCGUUCCGAGAGUACCCGAAGAAAAAGCAUCGGCUCACUCCGUGCCAGCAGCCGCGGUAAUACGGAGGAUGCGAGCGUUAUCCGGAUUUAUUGGGCGUAAAGCGCUCGUAGGCGGUAUGUCAAGUCAAGGGUGAAAUCCCCGCGCUCAACGUGGGAACUGCCUUUGAAACUGGCAAACUGGAGUGUGGGAGAGGAUAGUGGAAGUCCAGGUGUAGGAGUGAAAUCCGUAGAUAUCUGGAGGAACAUCAGUGGCGAAGGCGACUAUCUGGCACAUAACUGACGCUGAGGAGCGAAAGCGUGGGUAGCAAACAGGAUUAGAUACCCUUGUAGUC
This 460-nucleotide ribosomal RNA is filed under the name uncultured bacterium. RNAcentral describes it as "partial 16S ribosomal RNA". It matches the Rfam family "Bacterial small subunit ribosomal RNA", at positions 338 to 795 of the family's 1533-position model. The record is from RNAcentral.